GCAGCAGUGGCUUAAUGGCUAAGAGCAAGAGUACUAUAAUCUGGAGGAACCGGGUUUGAUUCCCUGCUCUGCUGCG
This 76-nucleotide transfer RNA is filed under the name Sphaerodactylus townsendi. Its description in RNAcentral is "tRNA-Tyr". The record is from RNAcentral. Lineage: Eukaryota; Metazoa; Chordata; Lepidosauria; Squamata; Sphaerodactylidae.